ACGGCAGCACGGAGCUCGCUCUGGUGGCGAGUGGCGAACGGGUGAGUAAUAUAUCGGAACGUACCCUGGAGUGGGGGAUAACGUAGCGAAAGUUACGCUGAUACCGCAUACGAUCUAAGGAUGAAAGUGGGGGAUUCGCAAGAACCUCAUGCUCGUGGAGCGGCCGAUAUCUGAUUAGCUAGUUGGUAGGGUAAAAGCCUACCAAGGCAUCGAUCAGUAGCUGGUCUGAGAGGACGACCAGCCACACUGGAACUGAGACACGGUCCAGACUCCUACGGGAGGCAGCAGUGGGGAAUUUUGGACAAUGGGCGCAAGCCUGAUCCAGCAAUGCCGCGUGAGUGAAGAAGGCCUUCGGGUUGUAAAGCUCUUUUGUCAGGGAAGAAACGGUGAGGGCUAAUAUCCCUUGCUAAUGACGGUACCUGAAGAAUAAGCACCGGCUAACUACGUGCCAGCAGCCGCGGUAAUACGUAGGGUGCAAGCGUUAAUCGGAAUUACUGGGCGUAAAGCGUGCGCAGGCGGUUUUGUAAGUCUGAUGUGAAAUCCCCGGGCUCAACCUGGGAAUUGCAUUGGAGACUGCAAGGCUAGAAUCUGGCAGAGGGGGGUAGAAUUCCACGUGUAGCAGUGAAAUGCGUAGAUAUGUGGAGGAACACCGAUGGCGAACGCAGCCCCCUGGGUCAAGAUUGACGCUCAUGCACGAAGCGUGGGGA
Molecule: ribosomal RNA, 707 nt
Filed under: uncultured bacterium
Lineage: Bacteria
Description: bacterial SSU rRNA
Rfam family: Bacterial small subunit ribosomal RNA
Source: RNAcentral